GGGGCACAGCCUCAUAAAUUAUUUACCUGUCAAUAAGACGAGAAGAAUGUUCUUUAUUUUUCAUAUUUGAAUUUAUAAAAUAUCUUGAAGAUUUUGAAUUAGAAAAUAUUGAAAGACAACAUGCAAUAAAAUAAAUAAAUUAAAGUUGUGUUUACUCACCGGUAUAUAGUAGUUGAAUAAUAAUUGUGGUUAUAAGCAGACAAUCACCUGUCAAGCGCUUAUCUUUGUACCGUUAUUAUCAAAAUUAGCCUCCCUUGCUAUUGCUUUAUUUUCUUUCGUAGAAUUAAAAUGUAUUUUUUGUAAUUAUUUUUUAUUUCCUCGCACUUCACAUCACUGUAUCACAUGGCUUGUGCCAAUGUUAUCGUAGGUCAGUGAUUCUUGUAAUCACCACGUGAAUGUGAUGUCUGAUAAGGAAGAAGCUAGCUUCAUACGGUAUGUUCUAGUGAUAAGAGGUUCGACUUUUGUUUGAAUUAAAAAAUAUCCCGGUUUCAAAUUUAUGUAAAUUGCUGAUUUUGAAUCACUACAUCUGGGAACUACUUUCUUUAUUUGCAAACGUCAUUGUGAUGAAAGCCAUUUCGAAUUAAAUCAACCUAUCAGAAGCCCGGAUUUAUUUAUUCAAGGGUGUAUGAACUCAAGUAUUUUCAAGAAUAACCACUUCCCAGAUGAUCAUCUAGCGGUAAACAACCAUGGUUGAAUGUUCCCCGUUUAACUGUUUUAAAUGUUAAAGUAAAUGUCUCAAAUAAUUGUAAAUCAGCACCAAAUACCGUCUCUUAUAUAUAUUUUUGAUUAAUUACGGAGUGAAGUGGAAUAUUAUAAAAAAAUUAAGACGUCACCGAACUUAGCCGCCGACACUCUGCCUGUGCCACAACGUGAGCGAUCCAUAUCCGAGGUCCAGUCAAUUUUCAUCCGAAGACAUCGAGUUCUGAACGACAGCAUCACCAAACAUAUCGAACAAGAUGAAUGGAGGAGGGAGAUGCCGAUGAGCAUUAUAGGAUCUAGUCGAUUUAUCGCCAGGCCAUGCAUAAGUACCAUACCAGGACCAAACAGAGACCAUCUCUAGCUAUUUUAAUUGGUAGACGAACAAUGAAAAACAAACCUGGGACGUCAUAGAUAAGGAGCUCAUGAAAUUUCAACCCCUCAUCUCAGCCCAUACAAUAAUCACACCACGGAAAAAACAAAGCACUCCAGCGGUCUAUAUCCAAUACUAAAUUAUAACGCUGGAGACUAAAGCACAAGCUUCACAUACAAUCACCGCGGAGAGCGGACUGGAAAAAAGUUGGCAUGCAAAAAGUGGUCGCUGAUCGCUGCUCGACUCUCGUCUGCUUUUUAGCACGAUUGUGUGCGCUUAACUAAAUAAUCUCUUUAAAAAAUACGGCUGAACUGCCUUUGUCCUACAGUGAUGACCGAAGGGCAUUUGUUAAAUAUUUAGCUUGAUAAAUCAUCCUUUAUGACAUCUAA
Long non-coding RNA from Nilaparvata lugens (brown planthopper), 1458 nucleotides. RefSeq lists it as uncharacterized. The record is from RefSeq and is a predicted model, not a curated record. NCBI's taxonomy places the organism in Eukaryota, Metazoa, Arthropoda, Insecta, Hemiptera, Delphacidae. The transcript is spliced from 2 exons.